This 366-nucleotide long non-coding RNA is filed under the name Lathyrus oleraceus (garden pea). RNAcentral's name for it is "Pisum sativum (pea) long non-coding RNA (PSAT_LNC039508)". Lineage: Eukaryota; Viridiplantae; Streptophyta; Magnoliopsida; Fabales; Fabaceae. The record is from RNAcentral.
AAGAUUUUGUCUGUUGGAGAUUGUUAUAUUUUACUCUCUCUGCUGACUUCACAAAGGAGACCAACAGACACUAACUUACUCUCUCAAAAAAAAAAGGAUUAAAAAUGGAAAAAGAGAAGAAGCCUCUGGGUCUUUCCCUGAGCGCCUCACCCUUAACCAUUACCAUUCCUCUUCUUCAAAUACUCCAUCGUCUUCCACCCUUUCACCACACUAACACCUCAUUUUCGCUUCCGUCAUCUUUCCCUGAGCGCCUCACCCUUAACCAUUACCAUUCCUCUUCUUCAAAUACUCCAUCGUCUUCCACCCUUUCACCACACUAACACCUCAUUUUCGCUUCCGUCAAAACAACCAACCGCGCCUCCGACG